Molecule: ribosomal RNA, 119 nt
Organism: Methanobacterium sp. A39
Lineage: Archaea; Methanobacteriati; Methanobacteriota; Methanobacteria; Methanobacteriales; Methanobacteriaceae
Source: Rfam
UUCGGCGACCAUAGCGGAGGGGUUACACCUGGUCUCGUUUCGAUCCCAGAAGUAAAGUCCUCCUGCGUUUUGAGUGGUACUAUAAUGUCUUUUAUGGGAAGCUUGAAACGUUGCCGGCC